RNAcentral lists this ribosomal RNA (440 nucleotides) under uncultured bacterium. RNAcentral's name for it is "partial 16S ribosomal RNA". It matches the Rfam family "Bacterial small subunit ribosomal RNA", at positions 338 to 795 of the family's 1533-position model. The record is from RNAcentral.
CCUACGGGGGGCAGCAGUGGGGAAUAUUGCACAAUGGGGGGAACCCUGAUGCAGCGACGCCGCGUGAGUGAAGAAGUAUUUCGGUAUGUAAAGCUCUAUCAGCAGGGAAGAAGAUGACGGUACCUGACUAAGAAGCCCCGGCUAACUACGUGCCAGCAGCCGCGGUAAUACGUAGGGGGCAAGCGUUAUCCGGAUUUACUGGGUGUAAAGGGAGCGUAGACGGCAGAUCAAGUCUGAAGUGAAAGCCCGGGGCCGAACUGCGGGACUGCUUUGGAAACUGCCCGGCUAGAGUGCUGGAGAGGGAAGCGGAAUUCCUAGUGUAGCGGUGGAAUGCGUAGAUAUUAGGAGGAACACCAGUGGCGAAGGCGGCUUACUGGACAGUAACUGACGUUGAGGCUCGAAAGCGUGGGGAGCAAACAGGAUUAGAUACCCUGGUAGUC